RNAcentral lists this transfer RNA (87 nucleotides) under Ceramothamnion japonicum. RNAcentral's name for it is "Ceramium japonicum tRNA-Ser". It matches the Rfam family "tRNA". From Rfam's summary of the family: Transfer RNA (tRNA) molecules are approximately 80 nucleotides in length. Their secondary structure includes four short double-helical elements and three loops (D, anti-codon, and T loops). The record is from RNAcentral. Lineage: Eukaryota; Rhodophyta; Florideophyceae; Ceramiales; Ceramiaceae.
GGAUAAAUGACUGAGUGGUUUAAAGUGUCAAUUUUGAAAAUUGAAGUAAAUUAAAUAUUACCGAAGGUUCGAAUCCUUCUUUAUCCA